This 439-nucleotide ribosomal RNA is filed under the name uncultured bacterium. Its description in RNAcentral is "partial 16S ribosomal RNA". It matches the Rfam family "Bacterial small subunit ribosomal RNA", at positions 338 to 795 of the family's 1533-position model. The record is from RNAcentral.
CCUACGGGAGGCAGCAGUGGGGAAUAUUGCACAAUGGGCGAAAGCCUGAUGCAGCAACGCCGCGUGAACGAUGAAGGCCUUCGGGUCGUAAAGCUCUGUCCUCAAGGAAAUUAAUGACGGUACUUGAGGAGGAAGCCCCGGCUAUCUACGUGCCAGCAGCCGCGGUACUAGGUCGGGGGCUGGCGUAAUCCGGAAUUACUGGGCGUUAAGGGGGCGUAGGUGGUUUCUUAGGUCAGAGGUGAACGGCUAGGGCGCAACCGUAGUAAGCCUUGGAAACUGGGGAACUUGAGUGCAGGGGAGGAGAGCGGAAUUCGUGGUGUAGCGGUGAAAUGCGUAGAUAUUAGGAGGAACACCAGUUGCGAAGGCGGCUUUCUGGACCGUAACUGACACUGAGGCACGAAAGCGUGGGGAGCAAACAGGAUUAGAUACCCGUGUAGUC